CGAUUUAGUAGUAACAACGAAUAGUGAGAAGUCAGCAGAUGUCAUAGUAGGAAACCAUGUUUCCGAAGGAC
Tetragenococcus muriaticus 3MR10-3 is the source of this 71-nucleotide non-coding RNA. Lineage: Bacteria; Bacillati; Bacillota; Bacilli; Lactobacillales; Enterococcaceae. The record is from Rfam.